UUGUCAGGUAGGAUAACCCUUACCUGUUCCUCCUUUUGGAGGGCAGAUUAGAACAUGAUGAUUGGAGUUUGCACGAGUGUUUAACAACGCUGCAUAAUCAGGACUUGUAACACCCUGAUUGGUCCUAUCUGAU
This 133-nucleotide small nucleolar RNA is filed under the name Carlito syrichta (Philippine tarsier). RNAcentral describes it as "U8 small nucleolar RNA (ENSTSYG00000022851.2)". It matches the Rfam family "U8 small nucleolar RNA". Rfam says of the family: U8 is a member of the C/D class of snoRNA which contain the C (UGAUGA) and D (CUGA) box motifs. U8 is the RNA component of a small complex (the U8 snoRNP) which is required for accumulation of mature large subunit ribosomal RNAs, 5.8S and 28S rRNAs. U8 RNA has been identified in human, mouse, rat and Xenopus. The record is from Rfam by way of RNAcentral. Lineage: Eukaryota; Metazoa; Chordata; Mammalia; Primates; Tarsiidae.